UUGGAGGGCAAGUCUGGUGCCAGCAGCCGCGGUAAUUCCAGCUCCAAUAGCGUAUAUUAAAGUUGUUGCAGUUAAAAAGCUCGUAGUUGAAUUUCGAGAUCAGUACGCUGGUCGUGCCUUUGGUAUGCACUGGUGUCACUGGUUUCUCCCUUCUGAAGAACUGUCAUGCCAUUCAGUUGGUGUGGCGGGGAAUCAGGACUGUUACUUUGAAAGUAAGUAG
This 220-nucleotide ribosomal RNA is filed under the name uncultured Glomus. RNAcentral's name for it is "partial 18S ribosomal RNA". It matches the Rfam family "Eukaryotic small subunit ribosomal RNA", at positions 548 to 769 of the family's 1831-position model. Lineage: Eukaryota; Fungi; Glomeromycota; Glomeromycetes; Glomerales; Glomeraceae. The record is from RNAcentral.